Molecule: transfer RNA, 76 nt
Filed under: Synechococcus sp.
Lineage: Bacteria; Bacillati; Cyanobacteriota; Cyanophyceae; Synechococcales; Synechococcaceae
Also listed under: 6 other names
Description: tRNA-Asp
Rfam family: tRNA
About the family: Transfer RNA (tRNA) molecules are approximately 80 nucleotides in length. Their secondary structure includes four short double-helical elements and three loops (D, anti-codon, and T loops). Further hydrogen bonds mediate the characteristic L-shaped molecular structure. tRNAs have two regions of fundamental functional importance: the anti-codon, which is responsible for specific mRNA codon recognition, and the 3' end, to which the tRNAs corresponding amino acid is attached (by aminoacyl-tRNA synthetases). tRNAs cope with the degeneracy of the genetic code in two manners: having more than one tRNA (with a specific anti-codon) for a particular amino acid; and 'wobble' base-pairing, i.e. permitting non-standard base-pairing at the 3rd anti-codon position.
Source: RNAcentral
UGGGACCGUAGUUCAACCGGUUAGAGCACCGCCCUGUCACGGCGGAAGUUGCGGGUUCGAAUCCCGUCGGUCCCGU